AGCAGGAGGAGCAGCAGAGGGAGAAGGAGAAGCAGGAAGCCUACUAAGCGAGAAGCCCAAUGCAGAACUCGAUCCCAGGAUCCUAAGAUCAUGACCUGAGCCACAGGCAGACACUUAACUGACAGAACCACGCAGCAAUGGAAUUUUAACAGGCUCUAUUCCUUGCCUCAAACCUUCAAAUUCAUGUUACUAUUAAUGCUGUCAACAGCAUGAAUUACAAAUAAAGAUAAAUGGUGAUAAACACAACGUUUCUUAUGGUGAAUCUUUUGCUUUAACCUCUAAAAUUAAAAAUAGCCUCACACUAUAACCUUGGUUAUGAUCACUGUGCAGAGUUACAAUAAGA
RNAcentral lists this long non-coding RNA (343 nucleotides) under Mustela putorius furo (domestic ferret). RNAcentral describes it as "lncRNA (ENSMPUG00000025663.1)". Lineage: Eukaryota; Metazoa; Chordata; Mammalia; Carnivora; Mustelidae. The record is from RNAcentral.